Molecule: non-coding RNA, 346 nt
Organism: Pimephales promelas (fathead minnow)
Lineage: Eukaryota; Metazoa; Chordata; Actinopteri; Cypriniformes; Leuciscidae
Source: RefSeq, a predicted model, not a curated record
UCAAAGGCCUAUUCCUGGCUUAAUCCAAGCCCUGUCUGUGAAAUCAGACCUUUGAGAUUAAUUAACUUAAAAGUUACUUUACUAGAUAGAAAAGAUCUCCUCCUUCAGUGAUGCUCCUCCUCCUCCAGUGAAGCUCCUCCCACUGCAGUUCACCAAUAAACGCUGGAAUAUUCCCCUCAGCUACAAGUGAAGACGAGCAUCAAACCAUCAGGAAGAGCCAACACAAACACAGAGUUUAUUGAAGGACACUGAGAACAUGAGAUCCAGAACACUGCAGAAUGAAACAUACUGAAGAACAAAGAGGUUCUGAGUGCCUGACAACUGUGAGCUGAUAACGGGCUGCGCC